UACGUAGGGGGCAAGCGUUGUCCGGAAUUAUUGGGCGUAAAGAGCGCGUAGGCGGUCCGAUAAGUCGGCUGUGAAAGUCAGGGGCUCAACCCUUGGAAGCCGGCCGAUACUGUCGGACUAGAGUCCGGAAGAGGCGAGUGGAAUUCCCGGUGUAGCGGUGAAAUGCGCAGAUAUCGUAAGGAAGACCAGUGGCGAAGGCGGGUCUCUGGACAGUUCCUGACGCUGAAGCACGAAGGCCAGGGGAGCAAACGGG
Molecule: ribosomal RNA, 253 nt
Filed under: uncultured bacterium
Lineage: Bacteria
Description: partial 16S ribosomal RNA
Rfam family: Bacterial small subunit ribosomal RNA
Source: RNAcentral